GAUGAAGAACGUAGCGAAAUGCGAUAAGUAAUGUGAAUUGCAGAAUUCAGUGAAUCAUCGAAUCUUUGAACGCACAUUGCGCCCGCCAGUAUUCUGGCGGGCAUGCCUGUCUGAGCGUCAUUUCAACCCUCAUGCCCCUAGGGCGUGGUGUUGGGGAUCGGCCAAAGCCCGCGAGGGACGGCCGGCCCCUAAAUCUAGUGGCGGUCUCGCUGUAGCUUCCUCUGCGUAGUAGCAACACUCGCACUGGAUCGCAGCGCGGCCACGCCGUUAAACCCCCCACUUCUGAAAGUUUGACCUCGGAUCAGGUAGGAAUACCCGCUGAACUUAAGCAUAUCAAUAAGCGGAGGA
This 348-nucleotide unclassified non-coding RNA is filed under the name soil metagenome. Its description in RNAcentral is "partial contains 5.8S ribosomal RNA, internal transcribed spacer 2, and large subunit ribosomal RNA". The stretch from base 1 to 120 matches the Rfam family "5.8S ribosomal RNA", at positions 35 to 154 of the family's 154-position model. The record is from RNAcentral.